GUGCAGUGGAGGGCUUUAUCAGGGACAAAUACGAAAAGAAGAAGUACAUGGACAGAAGUCUGGACAUCAACAUGUUACGGAGAGAAAAGGAUGACCAAUGGAAAAAGGAGGCACCCUCGGGGAAAAAACUGGAGCCAAUUAUCUUUGAGAAGGUGAAAAUGUGUUAGAUGAGCCACAAAAUAAUGUGUACAACAGUAUUUACUCAGAAAUAAAUCUGAUGGGACUUAAAGCCAAGUAUGUGUGCCCAGGAUUGCUGCAUUAAUGGAUGUGCUGGAGCAGGGUGGAUCUGCUGAAGGUGGUGUUAUAUUGGGCCAGCAUUUCAUUGCAGCCAGGAAGUCAAAAUAACCCUCAACUUGAACUCGGAAGAGAAUGUUUAUCUUCUUUCUUUCAGCCUCCUCAUCAGUAAAUGAAGACAUUGUUUGCUUAGAAUAGCCAGCUUGCAGGACAAAAACCACCACCUCCUUUUGCAGACCAAGGUCUGUGUGUGCCAGGCAGGCCUGGCAAGUUGCAGCUUGCAGAAGUGAAGUUUUCUGCCCCCUUGGCAUUCCAAAAGACACCUGCAAAAGCAUUUAUGUCCUCUUACUUGAGUCAGCUUUGGAUGGAGCAAAGUCUGCAACGAUUUCUGUUUCUGCUCCUUCAUCUGCCUCCACAUACGGCAGCUUUGCUGGAACAGAGAAGUUGAAAGAAGUCCUUUGCAAGUGUGGAGUUUGAUUAUUGAAAUCAUUCCACAUUUAGGAGUAUCUCUGAUGUUCCUCUUCCAAAUGUGGGUGUUUUCCAUUGUUGGCAAUUACUAUUGUGACUACUAUAACUCAGUGAAACGGGGGCACAAUUUUUAAAAAGCGCACUGUGAAAAUCCUGGGAAUGAAUGGAGGCUGAGGAAAAGGCAGGGCAAAGCAGAAUAUUAACACUUCAUUUCAGCUGGGACACUUUACAGCCCAACUCCACCAAGCCUUC
Molecule: long non-coding RNA, 954 nt
Organism: Rhineura floridana
Lineage: Eukaryota; Metazoa; Chordata; Lepidosauria; Squamata; Rhineuridae
Exons: 4
Source: RefSeq, a predicted model, not a curated record